RNAcentral lists this unclassified non-coding RNA (994 nucleotides) under Leishmania donovani. Its description in RNAcentral is "gene:LdHU3.26.0260(CDS-product:hypothetical_prote in_conserved)". The record is from RNAcentral. Lineage: Eukaryota; Euglenozoa; Kinetoplastea; Trypanosomatida; Trypanosomatidae.
CGCAGACGGUCCCUUUCAGCACUUUUCGGAGUGGAUAACACGGACGCCAUACAAACCUGGCGGCCAAGGGCACAUUGGAUGGCCCUUGGCGCUGGGCCAAGUUUUUCUCUGCUGUUGCCGGCGCCGCAUCCUAUCUGUCCAUAUUGCUGUGGUGUCCGUUGUACAGCAGGCGGAGUCACAACUGCACAGGUCUGCGUGAGGUAGUCUUAGGCCAUGCGCCACUUUUUUCAGUGCAUGUCGCAGGCGCUGCGCGAGCACGUGCUCGUACCAUUGAGCCAGCUAACGUGGGCCGAGGUGCUGGUCGCUGUAUCCGUCGGUGUUCUAGGUGGCAUCUUUCCGGUACCCUUCGUGACGUCAUUAAUCACGCUUGUGAUUGGGUAUUACUUACGAUGCACGGCGACAGAGCUCGUGCUUGCCUCUACUGUAAACUUCUUCUGCACGCCCCUCCAGUUUGCGCUGCUACCCUCGCUUGCGCGCCUUGCAGGGUUUCUUGCGCAAGCGGAGGUUGACGCCUUCACCGCGCACGCGCUCCACGAGUCCCUUAGGGUGGGCUAUACCACCUUCCUGAGGUCUUGCGGCCGCAUGAUCUUCUACGCUACAGUGGGGUGGUUCUUCGUUGCCAUUCCAAUCGUCAUGGUUCUCCGCUCUGUUCAGCGGUGCAUUUUGCAUCGCCACGUGCACAAAGGAAUGGCCGAGUAACGCCGAAUGCCGACUCAGUGUUGGUGCUGUACCUCCCGUCCACGUCCUCCUGUUCGCGUUCGCGUGAGUCGUUACAUCUGUGACUGUCCUCCUUACUGCUGUGCCACUGCUGCUUCCCCGCGCUUGGCGGUGUUUUGAACGCAAGAUGCACCGGUGUCUCCUCGCGCCCACCGCGUUGCUCUCAUCUCGUCACCGUUCCUACCGCAUUUUCUCGUUGCUGUGCUCCCCCCCGCCGCCGCGGCAAUAUCCGAUUGCGAGCGAUGUCCGCCCUGUCCCUUUCCGCGCCCGCUGCCAG